GAUGAACGCUGGCGGCGUGCCUAAUACAUGCAAGUCGAGCGAACAGACGAGGAGCUUGCUCCUUUGACGUUAGCGGCUGACGGGUGAGUAACACGUGGAUAACCUACUUAUCAGACUGGGAUAACUUCGGGAAACCGGAGCUAAUACCGGAUAAUAUAUUGAACCGCAUGGUUCAAUAGUGAAAGACGGUUUUGCUGUCACUUAUAGAUCGAUCCGCGCCGCAUUAGCUAGUUGGUAAGGUAACGGCUUACCAAGGCAACGAUGCGUAGCCGACCUGAGAGGGUGAGCGACCACAAUGGAACUGAGAAACGGACCAGACUCCUACGGGAGGCAGCAGUAGGGAAUCUUCAGCAAUGGGGGAAAGGAUGACAGAGUAACGCCGCGCGAGUGAUGAAGGUCUUCGGAUCGUAAAACUGUGUUAUGAGGGAGGAACAAGAAUGUAAGAAAAUAUGCACGUAUUGACGGUACCAAAACAGAAAGCGACGGCUAACUACGUG
RNAcentral lists this ribosomal RNA (497 nucleotides) under uncultured bacterium. Its description in RNAcentral is "partial 16S ribosomal RNA". It matches the Rfam family "Bacterial small subunit ribosomal RNA", at positions 28 to 507 of the family's 1533-position model. The record is from RNAcentral.